AAGGAAGGGGGGGGGGGGGAGAAUAAAUGGAAGUUGCGCGAUGAAGAUUGGUGCUUGCACUAAUUUGAAGAGGCGCGAACGGGGGAGUAACGACUGGGGAAUAUGAACUUGAGCGGGGGACAACCUUUGGAAACGAAUGCUAAUACCCCAUAACAACUUUAAACAUAAGUUUUCAGUUUGAAAGAUGCCAUUUCAUCACUCAAAGAUGAUCCCGCGUUGUAUUAGCUAGUUGGUGAGGUAAAGGCUCAACAAGGCGAUGAUACAUAUCCGACCUGAGAGGGUGAUCGGCCACAAUGGGAAUGGGACACGGCCCAAACUCCUACGGGAGGCAGCAGUAGGGAAUCUUCGGCAAUGGACGAAAGUCUGAACGAGCAACGCCGCGUGAGUGAAGAAGGUUUUCGGAUCGUAAAACUCUGUUGGUAGAGAAGAACGUUGGGGGGAGUGGAAAGCUCAUGAAGUGACGGUAACUACCCAGAAAGGGACGGCUAACUACGUC
This 496-nucleotide ribosomal RNA is filed under the name uncultured bacterium. RNAcentral's name for it is "partial 16S ribosomal RNA". It matches the Rfam family "Bacterial small subunit ribosomal RNA", at positions 38 to 507 of the family's 1533-position model. The record is from RNAcentral.